Oreochromis aureus is the source of this 277-nucleotide long non-coding RNA. Lineage: Eukaryota; Metazoa; Chordata; Actinopteri; Cichliformes; Cichlidae. The record is from Ensembl.
GUUUGUGUGUGUAUUGUUUUGUCUCUUUCAAACAGGUGCCGGUCCUCACCUCUGCAGUGCUGCCGUCUCCUGUAACGCUGCAUGGUCCUAAGCUACGUUUUCUUUCUUUUUUUUUUUUGUUCUUGUAAUUUUUGUCCUCAGGUGAGGUUUGAAGUGUCUGUGUUGUGCAGCUGGUCUGGUCUGUCUCUAGACAGUCCAGGCUGCACCCAUCAGUAAAUGGUGGAGGCUCACAAGGACAACACACAAGUUUCUGAACAACUCUGCGGGAGGGUUUCUC